GUCAGGUGUGGAGCUCCUAUCAGGUCUUCCACUUAAUAAAGCCAGUUUACCCUACUGAGAGAGUCCUCCUUCUUGCCGUCGCCAUGGUUGCCAAGAUCAUCUUGUCCUACGCUGGGUGUGGGGAACCAAGUACCCACGGGGAGGAGGUGGCUAGUGAGACUAGCUGCCCCUAGUCUCGUGACUAGCGUUAGCACGUGAGCCACGGUGAGGAACUCUGAGCUAGCCCGUGGGCCAGCACUUCCAAGUGCAUGCAGGACACCGCGACAGCGUGUGUGGUGCCCAAUGUGGGGGGGCCCCCAGCACGAGGAGAACCCCACGGCACAGACUGGGGCAAAGAAGAAGCCCGAUGAAAGUCCUUGGAUGCCGCGCUACCCCUGGUUGAAGCAGCUCCAUUGCGGAGAGCGCUCCCAGGGGAGAAGAUGACAGCUCCUGACCACCCCAGGAGUCCUCUUCGGGCAACGGAAUCAGUGACCCCAGGUUUCCUUGGCUCCAGGAGAGGGGUUGCGGCUCUCCAAGGGCUUGCACCUGAGUGAUGCUGACUGGACAUUUAUCUCGGUGAAUCCUGAGGAACAGGGUGCCUGGUCUGCAGUCAAAGGUUUGCUUUCUCGGUUCCUACCAUCAACCAAGAGGCCCAGAGGAAACGCUACCAUUGGUGGGUGCUUCUGCAAGGAAUGAAGAACAGCCCUGUCAUCUGUCAAUGGGUUCAAGCUGCAAGAAGACAGAGUUCAACGGAUGCCACCUUGGAGGUACCUUGGGCUGGAGAUUGGCAAGCAGACCAUUGUUCGGCAAAAAUUGGACAUCAAAGUAAAGUCUUUUUCAGUUCAAUAUGGAACCUGUCCAAGUCCGAGCCCCGUCUCUGAGGAACCACCAUCUUAUCCUCGGAGUCUGCCUGCUAAUCAGCCUCUGUGUCCCAACCAGAGGAUGGCUUGUCCCACAGCCCAAGGCCAACGUAUGGGUGACCCUUGCAAGAGCCAUGGGACAGGACCAUAUAUGUCUCUCAGCCACAUCAGCAACGCUUCUGCUGUUGCCAUGCAGAAUAGAGCAGGCUUUCCAUGAUGCCACUGCUCCCCUCAAUCUCCUGCAGGAGCCGAGUCAUCUCCUGAUGAUGAUGAUAUUCUUCACGCUCUUGCAUCUGCUGAACUUCAUCCUUUUUAGUAUCGAGAUUUAGCUCAAGGCCAGUGUGGAUGGCUAACAGGGCCGGGAUGAAGGCCAGUGUUGGAGACAUGGCCUGGUGGGAGAAAGGAGGCUCAGCAUGUCUGGCUGGGAGGGAGCAGAGGGCUGGGGGCACCUGGAAUAUCCUCAGAGCCUCUCUGGGCACCAAGAGCCCCAAGACCGUCUACUCCCAGCCCUGGGGACAGUGCCUGGCCCUGGAGGUCCCAGCUCUCACUCUGGGUUUAAAUGCCCAGAACGUCGUUUCACAGCCCCCAUCCACUCCAGCGUUCCUCCUUGCGUGUGCACUCACUGGCUGCCAGAAUCCAACUGCUCAGUGCUGCCCCUCGACACGGGUGCCAGUGUGAUGUGUCCUCUGUGAUGUCACAGCCAGGAGAACCAUGUCAGUCAGCUGCCAAGCUGGCCGUGCCCCUCCACACAGGUGCCAGUGUGAUGGGUCCUCUGUGAUGUCACAGCCAGGAGAACCAUGUCACUCAGCUGCCAAGCUGGCCGUGCCCCUCCUCACAGCUCCCACUAUGACCCAUGCCCUGGCAUGUCACAGCCCCCAGAAGCACACCUCGCAGCCCACAAGCCUCAGCCUUCGUCCCCGCUGCCAGCCCCAGCGGCUCCUGGGCAUCCUCACCCUGAGUGCAAACCCAGCCGCAGGAGCCUGUGCAGAGGGUGUCCAGCACGUACCAGUCCUGAUCCCUGGACAGCUGGCCACCAGAGGUGUGGAGGAAGCACAUCUGCCCCAGCAGCUACUCCCUGGAGGGAGCACAGGCACAGAGCUUGCUGACUCUCUGAACAGGUCUCCUCGGUAUGAGAGAUCCCUAUUCAGGCGCCACUUACCGCCAGCCUGACAGGCUGCGAUUCUCAGAGACGUCAGUUGAGGGUCCGCAGUGGCCGAUAAGCAAAAAGACGGGCACACUCCUACGCAAUCCGAAACAAAACUGAUUUAAUAGGCAAAAUAACAAGCUGCAGAAAGCCGAGCACCAAAUAUGGGAGUGUACCAAAAGGUAGGCUGCAGGGUGGAUACAGUAAGAUAGGGUUAGGGUGGAGUUUGAGGGACUGGGUCCAGUGGGGGAACACAGUAACAAAUAUUUGUUAACAAUGCAGGAAAAAAACCCCAAUCACUGAACAAAGAACUGAGAACAUUCUAGUCUAAUUGACAUAGGGAAACUCCCAUGGGGCCUUGAGGCUAAGAUUUCUCACACAGCAUGGUUCCCAGGGCUGGGGUAACAGGGGCAUAGUGUGGCAGGUGCCCAGAGAGGCUCUGGGGACAUUCCAGGUGCCCUCAGCCAUAUGUGCUCUGCCAGCUCACACCACUGCCCUCCGGCAAGUCCUGAGCAGCAUCUCUGGCCUGCACUGCACCGUCGAGAUGGCUUUGGCCGUGCAACAGGGCAGUUCAGGUGCCUACCUGAGCCUUGAGCAGGCCAGCAGCUGGCUCUGCCAGCAGCACUGUGUGGGCCAGAGAGCUGUCACCUUUCAGACUCACUGCCAAGAUGCCGCGGCUGCUGAGGUGACAGCAUUGUUACCAGGAAGGAGGAAGGAAGAAGGUGAAGUCAACCAUUCCUCACGGGACAUUUUGUUGCGUUCUGUUUGGAUUCUUUAGCUUUUUUAUUAUGAACUAUGAAAAAUGUAGCCUCAUCAUAGUAAUUCUAAAAUUUCCCAAGGCAGAGCUGGGAAGGUUAACAUAAUUUCAAGUAUGUCUAAGCUUUUGGAUUUGGGUAUACGUUGGGAUUCAAGAAAUCUCUGACUUAAGGCCCUGGGAAAAAAAUCUCUCCAGUUAGGGUGAGAAAAAUUUCACCCUCAAAUCUUCAUGGGAGUUCUUUAUGUAAAUAGGAGUAGAAAGUUCUCUGUUUUCUGUUCUACAGUUCGUUGAUUUUUUGCUGCAGUAACAUAUGUAUUCGUCAUUGUGUUACUCUAUUGGACCCUAUCCCUCAGGCUCCCCCAAACCCUACUUUAUUUAAGUUGUAACCCCUGGCCCUCAUCCCUUUUGGUAUACCCCUGUGUUGUGUUUGGAUUGCUGUUUGUUGUUUUGCUUAUUAAACAGUGUUUUUGUUUCAGGUUGCAUCGAGGUGUGCCCGUCCUUCUUUAUAAUUAACCACUGCGGGUCUUGCCCAACUCUUCAGAGAUCACAGACAGUGCCAGGAUCUGCAAUAAGUAGAGCAAAGAAUUCUAGCAGUCUUUUGAUGUGUGUUUCUCUCAAGAGCGUAAUAAAUGUAGAGAUUUAUUCUCCAUCACAACGCAGCUUCAAGGGUAUAUUACAGGUUUUGGAUUCUCAUAUAUUCUGUUUUCUAAGUAGGAUUCAAAGUGCUGUCAAGGCUGAGGACUUUUUUUGUCACUGGAGAAAUCAGUUUGGGGAGAGUCAAAGGUCACAGAAAAGCUCCAGCUUUUGUCCCUCGCUUACGUUUCAUCUUAAUUCUUAUUUCUCUAACCUUAAAUUUUACUGUGAAAUUCAGCUAUCACAAAGAGAGGGAACAAGCUCCUGAAAAAAAAAAAAAAAAAAAGAUGUUUUGAAACUCAGCUAAUUUAAAAGUACUUGGCUUUGCUACGUUUUCCUUUACGUUACACAUAAUCCCAGCAGGAAUGCAUUUGUUAGGCCUUCUUUUCCAGGCUGCAAUGGAGAUACUCUGAACUCCUGAAUUAGCUGAAAUAGGUACCUGAUAGGGUGUCAAGGCUGCAACAUUUCACAUAGUUUUUUCCUCCCCAGUAGGCAGGGAAGGACCUUGCAGAGGCUCUUCAUGUUAAUGGUGCUAGUGGCGUUCAGGAGGUAAGAAGGGCAAUGGCCCCUGGGCUGUCCCAGCGAUGGUGUGGCAGCAGGAGCAGGGCAGUGACCGUCCCUGUGCUGGCACAGCUGAGGCCGCACUUCAAGUGCUGUGUCCAGUUCUGGGCCCUUCACAACAGGGAAUUGGGCUGGAGCAUGUCCAGAGAAGGGAACGGAGCUGGGCAAGCGUCUGGAGCAGCAGAAUCAGCUGAGGGAGCUGGUCACAGCCUGGUUUCACAGGCCUUUCCGAACCGAAUUCACUCCGUGAGCACGAAUCGCCUCAACCAAGCCGUAUUUCAAAUCCCUGCAAAGAGAGAUCUACACACGCUGCCCGACGGCUUCUUAAGGCUGCUGUCUUGAGGCUGCGAUUGAAAGGCACGACGUAAUUCAGCCCCACAAGCCGCAAAACCGCUCCGUCCCGCCGCCAACGGGGCACUACCGAUUUCCCGCCCCCGCUGCCGGCCUUCUAUGCGUGCGGAGCGAACCAAGCUGAGGGCGCAGGACGGGGGAACGAUCCCCCGCCCCCGCCAGGGGCCAUUGGAUCCGGCCAUGAGAGACGUGGCAUGGCACGGCGGCGGCGCCGCGGAGGAUGCUGGGGGUUGUAGUCCAAGGCGGCGCUGGCCGCGGCCUCCUUUCCUGUAUCCCGGGGACAGGAAAGACCGGGAAGAGACAGCAUAGGACCGGGGGAUCGGGCUCGGUGAGAGCGCGUUUGGCGGCGGCAGGAGGCGUCGCGUUGUGACCCGUCGUACCCGGUGGCGGGGAGGAGCGGUCGGAGGGCUGGGCCGGGCGGUGCCGGCGCCCGGAGCGGUUACGGGAGGUGUAGGGCUCGCUCCUCGUGUUCUGACCCGGCGUGUCCUUGCAGGGCUGCAGCGGCUCCUGCACUUGGAGUGCUGCCAGCGCCGUGCUCCCAGGCGCGCUGUGAGGUGAGGGUCAGGGAGCAGCACUGCAUAGAAUUCCCGGUGCGAUUUAUCCCGGUGCUUCGCUGGGUCGCCGGUGUUGUCCUGCUCCUUCCUCCGGCUGGCUUUCCUCCUGCGGGCCGAGUCCGAGUGCCGGGUUGUUCGGAGCCUCGGGGCACCGAACUCCAGCCCUGCAGCGAGGAAUGGGAGUGCUGGUCCUGGUAAAAUGCCUGCGGUUUUAUCCUCACCCUCGAGAAUCUGUUAAUGCCGGAUGAAAAUGGUGCUUCAGGAGCUUUAUUGCUGUAUUGUAGUGUCUCUGGAGGCAUAAUUUACUCUUUAUGUGAUUUAUUUGGUUUUAUUAACACUUGGAAAAAACCAACAUUGCUUCUUUUGGGACAACACUUCCGAAAGUACUGGAGCUGUUGCAUCAUAUCCUGGUGGGAGAAAUAAGGAUUCUAAAGUGGCAAUCUCAUAAGCUACUAAGUGUCCAGGUUAUUAAUUGACAGCAAUUAGUUGUUUGUAUCCUCUAUUUUGUAUAUUGAUGUUAUCUGUUAUUUGUAAGUUAUUCAUUUAAUGUAUUGAUGUUACCAGUUCUCUGUACCCCAAACCCCAGUUCUGUGUGUUUCCCCAGUCGCUUCCCAGUUCCGGAAAGUCCCUACACCCCUUACCUUAUAAUAAGUUAGGCCCCGCUGCUCUCCAGACAGCCUGAGCCAUCAUUGUCUCGCCACCGAACACAACAUUGACACCGCCCAUCUUACCAUCAGCUCCUCCCCGCCUGCUCGUCAACCCAGAGACCUCGCCCACUCCUCGCCUGCUCCGGGCCCAGCACCGCCCCUUAUGGAAAUCAGGCAGGCAGGCCGGAAGGGCACUGGACACCAACAACCCCCGAGGACGACGAGCCGACCCGAGAUCUGGGAAGACGAAACGCAGUGCUGGGUGAGGAAAGAGCUCAUGUACCCGCUGACGU
Hirundo rustica (Barn swallow) is the source of this 5779-nucleotide long non-coding RNA. RefSeq lists it as uncharacterized. The transcript has 5 exons. The record is from RefSeq and is a predicted model, not a curated record. NCBI's taxonomy places the organism in Eukaryota, Metazoa, Chordata, Aves, Passeriformes, Hirundinidae.